RNAcentral lists this ribosomal RNA (492 nucleotides) under uncultured bacterium. Its description in RNAcentral is "SSU rRNA". It matches the Rfam family "Bacterial small subunit ribosomal RNA", at positions 1 to 482 of the family's 1533-position model. The record is from RNAcentral.
UUCGGCUUAGAGUUUGAUCCUGGCUCAGAGUGAACGCUGGCGGCGUGGAUUAGGCAUGCAAGUCGAGCGAUCUCGCAAGAGAUAGCGGCAAACGGGUGAGGAACACGUGAGCAACUUGCCCUGAGGACAGGAAUAGCAUCGUGAAAACGGUGGUAAUACCUGAUAAUAUCAUUGAGGCGCAUGUCUUAAUGAUUAAAGGCGGGGACCGCAAGGCCUGCCACCUGGGGAUGGGCUCGCGUCCUAUCAGCUAGUUGGUAGGGUAAUGGCCUACCAAGGCGUUUGACGGGUAGCUGGCCUGAGAGGAUGGUCAGCCACACUGGGACUGAGACACUGCCCAGACUCCUACGGGAGGCUGCAGUCGAGAGUAUUUAGCAAUGGGCGAAAGCCUGACUAUGCGACGCCGCGUGAGGGAUGAAGGUUUUCGGAUCGUAAACCUCUUUUAUCAGGGAAGAAACCUUGCAGGUUAACACCCUGCAAGCUGACGGUACCUGA